This 468-nucleotide ribosomal RNA is filed under the name uncultured bacterium. RNAcentral's name for it is "partial 16S ribosomal RNA". It matches the Rfam family "Bacterial small subunit ribosomal RNA", at positions 28 to 507 of the family's 1533-position model. The record is from RNAcentral.
GACGAACGCUGGCGGCGUGCUUAACACAUGCAAGUCGAACGGAAAGGCCCUGCUUUUGUGGGGUGCUCGAGUGGCGAACGGGUGAGUAACACGUGAGUAACCUGCCCUUGACCUUGGGAUAACUUCAGGAAACUGGGGCUAAUACCGGAUAGGAGCUCCUGCUGCCUGGUGGGGGUUGGAAAGUUUGGGCGGUUGGGGAUGGACUCGCGGCUUAUCAGCUUGUUGGUGGGGUGGUGGCUUACCAAGGCGUUGACGGGUAGCCGGCCUGAGAGGGUGACCGGACACAUUGGGACUGAGAUACGGCCCAGACUCCUACGGGAGGCAGCAGUGGGGAAGAUUGCACAAUGGGCGGAAGCCUGAUGCAGCAACGCCGCGUGCGGGAUGACGGCCUGCGGGUUGUAAACCGCUUUCGCCUGUGACGAAGCGUGAGUGACGGUAAUGGGUAAAGAAGCACCGGCUAACUACGUG